RNAcentral lists this ribosomal RNA (1438 nucleotides) under Staphylococcus epidermidis. Its description in RNAcentral is "bacterial LSU rRNA". It matches the Rfam family "Bacterial large subunit ribosomal RNA", at positions 769 to 2208 of the family's 2925-position model. Lineage: Bacteria; Bacillati; Bacillota; Bacilli; Caryophanales; Staphylococcaceae. The record is from RNAcentral.
GAGGACCGAACCGACUUACGUUGAAAAGUGAGCGGAUGAACUGAGGGUAGCGGAGAAAUUCCAAUCGAACUUGGAGAUAGCUGGUUCUCUCCGAAAUAGCUUUAGGGCUAGCCUCAAGUGAUGAUUAUUGGAGGUAGAGCACUGUUUGGACGAGGGGCCCCUCUCGGGUUACCGAAUUCAGACAAACUCCGAAUGCCAAUUAAUUUAACUUGGGAGUCAGAACAUGGGUGAUAAGGUCCGUGUUCGAAAGGGAAACAGCCCAGACCACCAGCUAAGGUCCCAAAAUAUAUGUUAAGUGGAAAAGGAUGUGGCGUUGCCCAGACAACUAGGAUGUUGGCUUAGAAGCAGCCAUCAUUUAAAGAGUGCGUAAUAGCUCACUAGUCGAGUGACACUGCGCCGAAAAUGUACCGGGGCUAAACAUAUUACCGAAGCUGUGGAUUGUCCUUUGGACAAUGGUAGGAGAGCGUUCUAAGGGCGUCGAAGCAUGAUCGCAAGGACAUGUGGAGCGCUUAGAAGUGAGAAUGCCGGUGUGAGUAGCGAAAGACGGGUGAGAAUCCCGUCCACCGAUUGACUAAGGUUUCCAGAGGAAGGCUCGUCCGCUCUGGGUUAGUCGGGUCCUAAGCUGAGGCCGACAGGCGUAGGCGAUGGAUAACAGGUUGAUAUUCCUGUACCACCUAGUAUCGUUUUAAUCGAUGGGGGGACGCAGUAGGAUAGGCGAAGCGUGCUGUUGGAGUGCACGUCCAAGCAGUAAGGCUGAGUGUUAGGCAAAUCCGGCACUCAUAAGGCUGAGCUGUGAUGGGGAGAGGAAAUUGUUUCCUCGAGUCGUUGAUUUCACACUGCCGAGAAAAGCCUCUAGAUAGAUAACAGGUGCCCGUACCGCAAACCGACACAGGUAGUCAAGAUGAGAAUUCUAAGGUGAGCGAGCGAACUCUCGUUAAGGAACUCGGCAAAAUGACCCCGUAACUUCGGGAGAAGGGGUGCUCUUUAGGGUUCACGCCCAGAAGAGCCGCAGUGAAUAGGCCCAAGCGACUGUUUAUCAAAAACACAGGUCUCUGCUAAACCGUAAGGUGAUGUAUAGGGGCUGACGCCUGCCCGGUGCUGGAAGGUUAAGAGGAGUGGUUAGCUUCUGCGAAGCUACGAAUCGAAGCCCCAGUAAACGGCGGCCGUAACUAUAACGGUCCUAAGGUAGCGAAAUUCCUUGUCGGGUAAGUUCCGACCCGCACGAAAGGCGUAACGAUUUGGGCACUGUCUCAACGAGAGACUCGGUGAAAUCAUAGUACCUGUGAAGAUGCAGGUUACCCGCGACAGGACGGAAAGACCCCGUGGAGCUUUACUGUAGCCUGAUAUUGAAAUUCGGCACAGCUUGUACAGGAUAGGUAGGAGCCUUUGAAACGUGAGCGCUAGCUUACGUGGAGGCGUUGGUGGGAUACUACCCUAG